RNAcentral lists this ribosomal RNA (591 nucleotides) under uncultured Actinomycetes bacterium. RNAcentral's name for it is "bacterial SSU rRNA". It matches the Rfam family "Bacterial small subunit ribosomal RNA", at positions 185 to 791 of the family's 1533-position model. Lineage: Bacteria; Bacillati; Actinomycetota; Actinomycetes. The record is from RNAcentral.
GGGGCAUCCCGAGGUGUGGAAAGAAUUUCGGUCAAGGAUGAGCUCGCGGCCUAUCAGCUUGUUGGUGAGGUAAAAGCUCACCAAGGCGACGACGGGUAGCCGGCCUGAGAGGGUGACCGGCCACACUGGAACUGAGAUACGGUCCAGACUCCUACGGGAGGCAGCAGUGGGGAAUAUUGCACAAUGGGCGCAAGCCUGAUGCAGCAACGCCGCGUGAGGGAUGAAGGCCUUCGGGUUGUAAACCUCUUUUAUCAGGGAAGAAGCGAAAGUGACGGUACCUGAAGAAAAAGCACCGGCUAACUACGUGCCAGCAGCCGCGGUAAUACGUAGGGUGCAAGCGUUGUCCGGAAUUAUUGGGCGUAAAGAGCUCGUAGGCGGUUUGUCGCGUCUGCUGUGAAAAUCCAAGGCUCAACCUUGGACCUGCAGUGGGUACGGGCAGACUAGAGUGCGGUAGGGGAGAUGGGAAUUCCUGGUGUAGCGGUGGAAUGCGCAGAUAUCAGGAGGAACACCAAUGGCGAAGGCACAUCUCUGGGCCGUAACUGACGCUGAGGAGCGAAAGCGUGGGGAGCGAACAGGAUUAGAUACCCUGGU